UGCAGUCGAACGAUGAAGCCCGUUCGGGGUGGAUUAGUGGCGAACGGGUGAGUAACACGUGGGCAAUCUGCCCUUCACUCUGGGACAAGCCCUGGAAACGGGGUCUAAUACCGGAUACGACUGCGGGAGGCAUCUCCUGUGGUGGAAAGCUCCGGCGGUGAAGGAUGAGCCCGCGGCCUAUCAGCUUGUUGGUGGGGUAAUGGCCUACCAAGGCGACGACGGGUAGCCGGCCUGAGAGGGCGACCGGCCACACUGGGACUGAGACACGGCCCAGACUCCUACGGGAGGCAGCAGUGGGGAAUAUUGCACAAUGGGCGAAAGCCUGAUGCAGCGACGCCGCGUGAGGGAUGACGGCCUUCGGGUUGUAAACCUCUUUCAGCAGGGAAGAAGCGAGAGUGACGGUACCUGCAGAAGAAGCGCCGGCUAACUACGUGCCAGCAGCCGCGGUAAUACGUAGGGCGCAAGCGUUGUCCGGAAUUAUUGGGCGUAAAGAGCUCGUAGGCGGCUUGUCACGUCGGAUGUGAAAGCCCGAGGCUUAACCUCGGGUCUGCAUUCGAUACGGGCUGGCUAGAGUGUGGUAGGGGAGAUCGGAAUUCCUGGUGUAGCGGUGAAAUGCGCAGAUAUCAGGA
Molecule: ribosomal RNA, 629 nt
Filed under: Streptomyces polychromogenes
Lineage: Bacteria; Bacillati; Actinomycetota; Actinomycetes; Kitasatosporales; Streptomycetaceae
Description: bacterial SSU rRNA
Rfam family: Bacterial small subunit ribosomal RNA
Source: RNAcentral